RNAcentral lists this ribosomal RNA (445 nucleotides) under uncultured bacterium. RNAcentral describes it as "bacterial SSU rRNA". It matches the Rfam family "Bacterial small subunit ribosomal RNA", at positions 354 to 796 of the family's 1533-position model. The record is from RNAcentral.
GUGAGGAAUAUUGGUCAAUGGCCGAAGGGCUGAACCAGCCAAGUCGCGUGAAGGAUGAAGGUUCUAUGGAUUGUAAACUUCUUUUAUCAGGGAAUAAAGUGUGGUACGUGUACCAUUUUGUAUGUACCUGAUGAAUAAGCAUCGGCUAACUCCGUGCCAGCAGCCGCGGUAAUACGGAGGAUGCGAGCGUUAUCCGGAUUUAUUGGGUUUAAAGGGUGCGUAGGUGGUAAAUUAAGUCAGCGGUGAAAGUUUGUGGCUCAACCAUAAAAUUGCCGUUGAAACUGUUUUACUUGAGUGUGUUUGAGGUAGGCGGAAUGCGUGGUGUAGCGGUGAAAUGCAUAGAUAUCACGCAGAACUCCAAUUGCGAAGGCAGCUUACUAAACCAUAACUGACACUGAAGCACGAAAGCGUGGGGAUCAAACAGGAUUAGAAACCCCAGUAGUCC